AUGUGGUGUUCCGUCAAUAUGCAACCCGUUGCAUAUUGAGCUCCACUUAACUUGUAGUGUUGUUUGUGCACUUUGCCAUGCCAUGCAUAUUUAAGCCGGACAUGCAUCAUACUUGGUUGUGCAUCAUGCUAUGUUUAUGUGAUGGUUGUUUACUAUGUUGUUUGCGCUUUCCGGUGUUGCUUCUUCGGAUUGGUUCCGAUAACGUCGCGUUUGUGAGGAUCCGUUCGACUACGCCCGUUUGUCUUCUUCAUGGACUCGUUCUUCUUCCUUGCGGGAUCUCAGGCAAGAUGAUCAUACCCUCGAAAUCACUUCUAUCUUUGCUUGCUAGUUGCUCGCUCUUUUGCUAUGCCUAUGCUACGAUGCCUACCACUUGCUUAUCAUGCCUCCCAUAUUGUUGAACCAAGCCUCUAACCCACCUUGUCCUAGCAAACCGUUGAUUGGCCAUGUUACCGCUUUGCUCAGCCCCUCUUAUAGCGUUGUUAGUUGCAGGUGAAGAUUGAAGUUUGUUCCUUGUUGGAACAUGGAGAUAUUGUUCCUUGUUGGGACAUGUUUACUUGUUGGGAUAUCACAAUAUCUCUUAUUUAAUUAAUGCAUCUAUAUACUUGGUAAAGGGUGGAAGGCUCGGCCUUUUGCCUAGUGUUUUUUUCCACUCUUGCUGCCCUAGUUUCCGUCAUAUCGGUGUUAUGUUCCCGGAUUUUGCGUUCCUUACGCGGUUGGGUAAUAAUGGGAACCCCUUGACAGUUCGCCUUGAAUAAAACUCUUCCAGCAAUGCCCAACUUUGGUUUUACCAUUCGCCACCUAGCCUCUUUUUACCUUGGGUUUCGCGGACUCAAGGGUCAUCUUUAUUUAAACCCCGGGCCAAUGCUCCUCUGAGUGUUGGUCCAACCUGUCAGCUGCCGGUGGCCACCAGGGGCAACUCUGGGCUGGCCUACCCGUACCUUGGACAAUCCGGUGUGCCCUGAGAACGAGAUAUAUGCAGCUCCUAUCGGGAUUUGUCGGCACAUCCGGGCGAUGUUGCUGGAUUUGUUUUACCUUGUCGAAGUUGUCUUGUAGAACCGGGAUACCGAGUCUGAUCGGAAUGUCUCGGGAGAAGGUUUAUCGUUCGUUGACCGUGAGAGCUUGUGAUGGGCUAAGUUGGGACUUCCCUGUAGGGAUUUGAACUUUCGAAAGCCGUGCCCGCGGUUAUGGGCAGAUGGGAAUUUGUUAAUGUCCGGUUGUAGAAAACCUAAAGUUGAUCUUAAUUAAAAUACAUCAACCGCGUGUGUAGCCGUGAUGGUCUCUUCUCGGCGGGGUGCGGGAAGUGAACACGGCGUUGGAGUUAUGCUUGACGUAGGUUGUUCUAGGAUCACUUCUUGAUCAUAGUUUCUCGUCCGUGCUUUGCCUUCUCUUCUUGCUCUCAUUUGCGUAUGUUAGCCACCAAAUAUGCUAGUCUCUUGCUGCAGCUCCACCUCAUACUUUUACCCUUCCUAUAAGCUUAAAUAGUCUUGAUCGCGAGGAUGUGAGAUUGCUGAGUCCCCGUGACUCACAGUUACUUCUAAAACCAGUUUGCAGGUGCCGAUGUUACCGAGCAGGUGACACAACCAAGCUCAAGAAGGAGCUCGAUGAAGAUCUCGUUCUUUGUGUUGUUCUGUUUUCAGUUGAUCAGUAGUGGAGCCCAGUCGGGACGAUCGGGGAUCUCUGUAGCAUUUGGGGUAGUCUUCUUUUAUUUUGGGUUCCGUAGUCGGACCUUGAUUGUAUCUGGUUGAUGUAAUGCUUUAUUCAUGUAUUUGUGUGAAGUGGCGAUUGUAAGCCAACUAUGUAUCUUUUCCCUUAUUGUAUUACAUGGGUUGUUUG
This 1833-nucleotide long non-coding RNA is filed under the name Triticum aestivum (bread wheat). RNAcentral's name for it is "long non-coding RNA (TAES_LNC026447)". Lineage: Eukaryota; Viridiplantae; Streptophyta; Magnoliopsida; Poales; Poaceae. The record is from RNAcentral.